Molecule: ribosomal RNA, 483 nt
Filed under: uncultured bacterium
Lineage: Bacteria
Description: partial 16S ribosomal RNA
Rfam family: Bacterial small subunit ribosomal RNA
Source: RNAcentral
AUUGAACGCUGGCGGCAGGCCUAACACAUGCAAGUCGAGCGGAUGAAGGGAGUUUGCUCCUGGAUUCAGCGGCGGACGGGUGAGUAAUGCCUAGGAACCUGCCUGGUAGUGGGGGAUAACGUCCGGAAACGGGCGCUAAUACCGCAUACGUCCUGAUGGAGCAAGGGGGGGAUCUUCGGAUCUCAGGCUAUCAGAUGAGACUAGGUCGGAAUAGCUGGUUGGGGGGGUAAAGGCCUACCAAGGGGACUAUCCGUAACUAGUCCGAGGGGGUGAUCAGUCACACAGAAGCUGAGAGGCGAUCCAGAGUCUUACGGGAGGCAGAGGUGGGGAAGGUUGGAAGAUGGGCGAAAGCCUGAUCCAGCCAUGCCGGGUGUGUGAAGAAGGUCUGCGGAUGGUAAAGCGGUUUAAGUUGGGAGAAAGGGCAGUGAGUUAAUACCUUGCUGUUUUGACGUAACCAACAGAGUAGGCACCGGCAACUUCGGU